RNAcentral lists this long non-coding RNA (612 nucleotides) under Gouania willdenowi (blunt-snouted clingfish). Its description in RNAcentral is "lncRNA (ENSGWIG00000005383.1)". Lineage: Eukaryota; Metazoa; Chordata; Actinopteri; Blenniiformes; Gobiesocidae. The record is from RNAcentral.
UGAACAAAAUUUUCAUGAUGCUCAAUUAAAGGGACUUGUAAAUGGUAUUGUAUGUAAAAUAGUGUUUGAUUGCGAUUUCUGAUUUGUAUUUCAGUUUGAAUUGUAAUUCCUAAUCAGCUCAUUUUAAUCUUUGCCUUUUAGAGUACCUGGCAUCAAUCACUUAAACGCAAAUUUCAAUUGGAGCGUGCACCUCUUAUUCAUGAAGAUGAAGUGAAAAAGUGUAAGGAGAAAUUUGGACAAAAACGAACAAAACAGUUGGGUGAAUGUGACAGAGUCGGCAGGCGAGCUCCAUCUGAGUCUCCAUGUGUAAGCGGGGAAGAUGCUUCAUCCAUAGAGCAACAUGUCCGAGUCCUGCAUGUGCAAUAUGAGAGGGUGAAUCCAGAUGUUUCCGUAGUUGAAGAGCGCAUGCGGCGUACAUUUGCUUGGCGGAGGAAGGAGAUUGUGGAUGGGAUGACAGUGGGGGAUGUCCUCAAAAAGUAUCCCUUCUUGAGAUCUCCCAGAGAGGUAAGCUCUAACUCUGUAUUAUAUAUUCAAUAUUUUAGAUAUUUUGCACUAGGGGUGUCACGGAAAUUUAACCUCACGGUUAUUUUGACCAAAAUUAUCACGGUUUUC